This is a long non-coding RNA of Anopheles stephensi (Asian malaria mosquito), 1166 nucleotides long. RefSeq lists it as uncharacterized. The transcript is spliced from 3 exons. The record is from RefSeq and is a predicted model, not a curated record. NCBI's taxonomy places the organism in Eukaryota, Metazoa, Arthropoda, Insecta, Diptera, Culicidae.
AAAAAAACCUCGGCCCCAGGCAGUCUUUCGUGAAGUGAUAUCGUUUAGCUGAUGAUGGUGGAUAAGCCAGAGCAAGAGUGUGAGAGAUAAGAAGAGAGAUAGGAAAAAAAAUAUCAACAACGUGCCAGCGAUUAACAACGACACUCGGAGGAGUCAUCGGUGGGGAUCACUUUACAUACACUCUUCUGUGGGCCUCUGGUUCGGUUUGCUGGCGACCGGAACUGCUACUCCAACUACACCAAGGACCUGAAGCGAACACUUUUGCGGGAGGUCACAAGUGUCGGAGGCACUCAGCAGGCGGUUCCGAGAAGUCUAGAAAUGGAAAUGAGCGACUUUAGGUGGCACAAACAUUCUUUCCCGACUCCCUGCGGGACGACGACGCCUUCAAACAACUAGCGGCGGCUGUUCGCGCCAGCCGACCAGGUGUUUGAACCGCGGAAUUGAUAAGAAUCCGAUUAUGUAACGUGAUUCGUUUACUGCGAGUGAGUUUUUGUUUUAUGCUCCUCAGGGCGUUUGUUUUUUUCGGGAGCGACAUCGACAUUUGAAGGAAUCGGAACUAGCAACAGUAUGUAGGCAGUAAAUCGAUGCAUGUAAAUUAUAGCUGCGGCAUAUACACAAAACCAGCACACUCCGGAGAACGACCCAGCCGAAGUCGAGCUCGGUUCCUGAUCCGGGACAACGGAACGACGAAACGGUGGACGCACAAGGUUUACUAUGUUUGAGAGAGUAGGUGGAAUAAAUUGUUUUCCCAACCUGCUACUACGCGCUGCUUGACUGCCGCUAGGCUUGCCAGGCUAGUCACAAGAAAGGGGAUGGAAAUCCUUUUCAAAAGCACCAACACUUCAACAAACACACACAUACACGUAGCGCGUUCCAGACACCCACACCGUGCUGUCGUGGCACGGUGACAGCAUAAACUCCCGGGGGCCCUGAUAACGCACGCUCCCACGUCCUCGCACUGCCUCGUUCGGCGCGAGUCAAGUUCACGAAACACGCUUCUUCACUCUUCGCUAACUCCACACACCUUUUGUGUUUUUUUUUCUCUCUCUAACCUCCAACAGAACCCUCAGGGGAGUCGAACUGAUUGGCUGGGCUUUAUAGAACGCCCGGUUUUUACUACCCCCGGUGGUGCACAGGCACGAGAAAGAAUCAUAGAAAAGGGUCAC